This 139-nucleotide ribosomal RNA is filed under the name uncultured beta proteobacterium. RNAcentral describes it as "partial 16S ribosomal RNA". It matches the Rfam family "Bacterial small subunit ribosomal RNA", at positions 8 to 148 of the family's 1533-position model. Lineage: Bacteria; Pseudomonadati; Pseudomonadota; Betaproteobacteria. The record is from RNAcentral.
AGAGUUUGAUCCUGGCUCAGAUUGAACGCUGGCGGAAUGCUUUACACAUGCAAGUCGAGCGGCAGCGCGGGGCAACCUGGCGGCGAGCGGCGAACGGGUGAGUAAUGCAUCGGAACAUGUCCAGUCGUGGGGGAUAGCC